CUUACCUGCGAACGACCAAAGCAGAAGAAUGCGAAGGAGAAAGAAGAAAAGAAAGAAAGAAAAUGAUUUAGCCGUUCGACUUCACUUUCGACUUCGGCAGGUGUACGUUGGAAGAGAUUUGAGUGAAAUUGCGGGAGCUAGGGAGUGUCGAUAAGAGGUAUGCAUGGCACAUCUGAGAAGGGGACGUCUCGAGACAUAGAAAGAUGAGCUGAGUGAGUGAACUUACGUAUAUUGUAUUAUAUAUAAAUUUUUAACCGGAAAAACCUCUUGUUAAGGGGUGUGUUUUGUAAAUAUUUAUAAAUCAGAUUUUGGUAUAUCUAAUA
Long non-coding RNA from Andrographis paniculata, 323 nucleotides. RefSeq lists it as uncharacterized. The record is from RefSeq and is a predicted model, not a curated record. The transcript is spliced from 3 exons. Lineage: Eukaryota; Viridiplantae; Streptophyta; Magnoliopsida; Lamiales; Acanthaceae.